UAUUAAAAAUUGCAUCUAUUUUUUACUGUUAAAAAUUAGUGUGAUUGAUGAAAUAACCAAACAGUUAAAUAUAACGUGCCACGUGUACCACAUACUGACACACAAGAACCAAUUUUUAAUAGUAAAAAUGGAUGGGAUUUUUGACA
This is a non-coding RNA of Gossypium hirsutum (cotton), 146 nucleotides long. The record is from Rfam. Lineage: Eukaryota; Viridiplantae; Streptophyta; Magnoliopsida; Malvales; Malvaceae.